This 611-nucleotide long non-coding RNA is filed under the name Jatropha curcas. RNAcentral's name for it is "long non-coding RNA (JCUR_LNC001953)". The record is from RNAcentral. Lineage: Eukaryota; Viridiplantae; Streptophyta; Magnoliopsida; Malpighiales; Euphorbiaceae.
CACAGAGUUUUUCUAAAUUUGUUUAACCUUUGUGAAGCAGUUCUAAAUAUAAUAAUUGUUCUCACAUGGUUUUUCUAAUCUUGCUAUAAGCUUUGUGAGGAAGUUCUAAACUUGAUAAUUAACUCUCAUAAAUGCUUUCUAAUUCCGCUGCAACAGAAUUCUGAUUUUUGUUUUUGAAAGUUAAAUUUUUAGAAAAUCCAAUUCACCCCCCUCUUGGGUUGUGCCAUGCAUAAACAUGACCCAUAAUAACUUCAGUUGGUUGAGUGUCUGGCACCAUCGGAGGCACCUCUUUCCCCAAGCUCUAUGCGACAACUUUCUUUUUCAUGGCCUCGGCAACUUUAGCCAACUUAGAACCCUUUGACUUCUUUGGAACCAUAUCUGCAUCAAAGAAAAAGAAAAAAAAGGAAAAUUAAAGAAUGUUAGUAUAAGGACAAUACUUAAAACAAAUGAAAGCAGUAUAUACCAGAAAUGAAAGACUGGGGUCCUAUGGGUCCACUAUAAGGUCGAACUUGGUAGCCCUCGGCAAUAAUUUGCUUCAAAUUCACCGUUCUCAACCCGCUGGACUUUAUCAAUUCUGCCCACAUCAAAUCAUCUGAGGUAGGCGAAGUAGG